GCGAAAGUGGCGGAACUGGCAGACGCGCCAGACUUAGGAUCUGGUGCCCCAAAAGGGCUUGGGGGUUCGACUCCCCCCUUUCGCA
Molecule: transfer RNA, 85 nt
Filed under: bacterium
Lineage: Bacteria
Description: tRNA-Leu
Rfam family: tRNA
About the family: Transfer RNA (tRNA) molecules are approximately 80 nucleotides in length. Their secondary structure includes four short double-helical elements and three loops (D, anti-codon, and T loops).
Source: RNAcentral